UACUAAAGAUUCAAUGUCUUUUUGAUGGA
This 29-nucleotide small RNA is filed under the name Bombyx mori (domestic silkworm). RNAcentral describes it as "ovarian small RNA-21225". The record is from RNAcentral. Lineage: Eukaryota; Metazoa; Arthropoda; Insecta; Lepidoptera; Bombycidae.